RNAcentral lists this ribosomal RNA (489 nucleotides) under uncultured bacterium. Its description in RNAcentral is "partial 16S ribosomal RNA". It matches the Rfam family "Bacterial small subunit ribosomal RNA", at positions 28 to 504 of the family's 1533-position model. The record is from RNAcentral.
GAUGAACGCUAGCUACAGGCUUAACACAUGCAAGUCGAGGGGAAACGACAUCGAAAGCUUGCUUUUGAUGGGCGUCGACCGGCGCACGGGUGAGUAACGCGUAUCCAACCUGCCCAUCACUUGGGAAUAACCUUGCGAAAGUAAGACUAAUACCCAAUGAUAUCCCACGAAGGCAUCGGAAUGGGAUUAAAGAUUUAUCGGUGAUGGAUGGGGAUGCGUCUGAUUAGCUUGUUGGCGGGGUAACGGCCCACCAAGGCAACGAUCAGUAGGGGUUCUGAGAGGAAGGUCCCCCACAUUGGAACUGAGACACGGUCCAAACUCCUACGGGAGGCAGCAGUGAGGAAUAUUGGUCAAUGGGCGAGAGCCUGAACCAGCCAAGUAGCGUGCAGGAAGACGGCCCUAUGGGUUGUAAACUGCUUUUAUAAGGGAAUAAAGUGGGUCACGUGUGACUUUUUGCAUGUACCUUAUGAAUAAGGACCGGCUAAUUCC